This is a long non-coding RNA of Dreissena polymorpha, 875 nucleotides long. RefSeq lists it as uncharacterized. The record is from RefSeq and is a predicted model, not a curated record. The transcript has 2 exons. Lineage: Eukaryota; Metazoa; Mollusca; Bivalvia; Myida; Dreissenidae.
AUACUUAAACACUUCUCAUACUCGAGGAAUAUUUUGAGAUCUUCCUUCAGGUACUGGACCCAGCCGUCCUCGAGCCGGUCACAGGCGUGCUGCUUGGCAGGAUCGAACACCACCGAGUCCACGAAGUCAUUUGCUGAGAUGGCCCAUGCGUUACACAGUCGUAGCAUGCGGUCUGCUGCGCGAUCCUCUGCAGCGCCAUACUCUGUUACAUCCUGCCAGAACAGCAGGCUUGGUAGCAGUGUCUGGUCUUGGUGACUGUGAAAAAGAAACCAGGGCAAGUGGUCACUCAAACAGGGAAAGUGCUCACUCAACCAGGGCAAGUGUUCACUUAACCAGGGCAAGUGAACACUUAACCAGGGCAAGUGUUCACUCAACCAGGGCAAGUGUACACUAAACCAGGGCAAGUGUUCACUUAACCAGGGCAAGUGUUACUCAACCAGGGCAAUGUUCACUCAACCAGGGCAAGUGUCAAAUUAACCAGGACAAGUGUUCACUCAACCAGGGCAAGUGUACACUUAACCAGGGCAAGUGUCCAAUUAACCAGGACAAGUGUUCACUCAACCAGGCAAGUGUUCACUUAACCAGGGAAGGUGUUCAAUCAACCAGGGCAAGUGUACACUUAACCAGGGCAAGUGUUCACUCAACAAGGGCAAGUGUUCACUCAACCAGGGCAAGUGUUCACUCAACCAGGGCAAGUGUUCACUCAACAGGGAGAGUGUUCACUCAACCAGGGCAAGUUUCCACUCAAGUUCUUAAAGAAAACUGGCCUCAGAAGUACAUGAGUAAAUGGCUUGAAUGCAAAAAUGUGCGUAUGUGACUUUUUUAUAUAGAGAUAAAUGGCUGUGUAAUGUUUGCAAUUAUAAAUAAUGCUUUGA